CCUACGGGUGGCAGCAGUAGGGAAUUUUGCGCAAUGGGCGAAAGCCUGACGCAGCAACGCCGCGUGAUCGAGACGCCCUUCGGGGUGUAAAGAUCUGUCAGUGGGGACGAAACUUGACGGUACCCACAGAGGAAGCACCGGCUAACUCCGUGCCAGCAGCCGCGGUAAUACGGGGGGUGCAAGCGUUGUCCGGAAGUAUUGGGGGGAAAGAGUUCGUAGGCGGGAUGUAAAGUCUGGUGGUAAAGGAAGAGGCGCAACUUCUGUACGGCAGUGGAUACUUGCGAGCUAGAAGGCGGUAGAGGUAAAGGGAAUGCCUGGUGUAGCGGUGAAAUGCUUAGAUAUCAGGAGGAACAGCGGUGGCGUAAGCGCUUUACUGGGCCGUAAUUGACGCUGAGGAACGAAAGCCAGGGUAGCAAAUGGGAUUAGAUACCCCUGUAGUC
Molecule: ribosomal RNA, 440 nt
Filed under: uncultured bacterium
Lineage: Bacteria
Description: partial 16S ribosomal RNA
Rfam family: Bacterial small subunit ribosomal RNA
Source: RNAcentral